UACGUAGGGUGCAAGCGUUGUCCGGAAUUAUUGGGCGUAAAGGGUGCGUAGGCGGUUCGGUAAGUUUCGUGUGAAAUCUUCGGGCUCAACUCGAAGCCUGCACGAGAUACUGCCGGGCUUGAGUGUGGGAGAGGUGAGUGGAAUUUCCGGUGUAGCGGUGAAAUGCGUAGAUAUCGGAAGGAACACCUGUGGCGAAAGCGGCUCACUGGACCACAACUGACGCUGAGGCACGAAAGCUAGGGGAGCAAACAGG
This 253-nucleotide ribosomal RNA is filed under the name uncultured bacterium. RNAcentral's name for it is "partial 16S ribosomal RNA". It matches the Rfam family "Bacterial small subunit ribosomal RNA", at positions 524 to 776 of the family's 1533-position model. The record is from RNAcentral.